GGGAUCACGCAGGGGUCCUGGCGCCGCGUUCAGAGCCGUUUCAAACGCUGGCGCCGGGUGAGAGAGUCCCUCGGAACCUGAUGCGGGUAAUGCCGCCGUAGGGAAGCGUGCUCUUCGCCCGC
RNAcentral lists this non-coding RNA (122 nucleotides) under Betaproteobacteria bacterium. RNAcentral's name for it is "TPP sequence". It matches the Rfam family "TPP riboswitch aptamer (THI element)". From Rfam's summary of the family: Vitamin B(1) in its active form thiamin pyrophosphate (TPP) is an essential coenzyme that is synthesised by coupling of pyrimidine and thiazole moieties in bacteria. The previously detected thiamin-regulatory element, thi box was extended, resulting in a new, highly conserved RNA secondary structure, the THI element, which is widely distributed in eubacteria and also occurs in some archaea. The record is from RNAcentral. Lineage: Bacteria; Pseudomonadati; Pseudomonadota; Betaproteobacteria.